This 151-nucleotide microRNA precursor is filed under the name Glycine max (soybean). RNAcentral describes it as "miR5042 stem-loop (gma-MIR5042)". The record is from miRBase by way of RNAcentral. Lineage: Eukaryota; Viridiplantae; Streptophyta; Magnoliopsida; Fabales; Fabaceae.
AAAGAUGCAAAAUUUUCAAGUGUUCAAGUGUUGACAACUAUUUUUAGCUUUCAAACCCCCUAUCUUGGAUCACAGCCCCAUUGCCUAUCAUGGGGCUUGGAGUGGGGCUUGAUCCAAGAUAGGAAGCUGGAAAGCUUGAAAGUAUGAACUG